Molecule: ribosomal RNA, 242 nt
Filed under: uncultured Actinomycetales bacterium
Lineage: Bacteria; Bacillati; Actinomycetota; Actinomycetes; Actinomycetales
Description: partial 16S ribosomal RNA
Rfam family: Bacterial small subunit ribosomal RNA
Source: RNAcentral
UACUCGAGUGGCGAACGGGUGAGUAACACGUGGGUGAUCUGCCCUGCACUUCGGGAUAAGCCUGGGAAACUGGGUCUAAUACCGGAUAGGACCACAUUUUGGAUGGUGUGGUGGAAAGUUUUUCGGUGUGGGAUGAGCUCGCGGCCUAUCAGCUUGUUGGUGGGGUAAUGGCCUACCAAGGCGUCGACUGGUAGCCGGCCUGAGAGGGUGUACGGCCACAUUGGGACUGAGAUACGGCCCAG